RNAcentral lists this ribosomal RNA (253 nucleotides) under uncultured bacterium. Its description in RNAcentral is "partial 16S ribosomal RNA". It matches the Rfam family "Bacterial small subunit ribosomal RNA", at positions 524 to 776 of the family's 1533-position model. The record is from RNAcentral.
UACAGAGGUCUCAAGCGUUGUUCGGAUUCAUUGGGCGUAAAGGGUGUGUAGGUGGCGCCGUAAGUCGGGUGUGAAAACUCGAGGCUCAACCUCGAGACGUCGGCGGAAACCAUCUGGCUAGAGUCCGGAAGAGGAGAGUGGAAUUCCUGGUGUAGCGGUGAAAUGCGCAGAUAUCAGGAAGAACACCCGUGGCGAAGGCGGCUCUCUGGGACGGUACUGACGCUGAGACGCGAAAGCGUGGGGAGCGAACAGG